AAGUUUUAUUCUUGCUUUUAUUGUUCACUUAAUCAUUAAUUUAUAUGUGAAUUUUUGUUAAUUAAAUAUUUCUUAAAGAUAUAUUUUAUUUAUGUUGCAGUAGAUAAUUUUAUUAAUAUUAAGUUAUUUUAGAUUUAGUAAAUGUUAAAAGAUUUGGUUAAAAUUGUGCCAGCAUCCGCGGUUAUACAAUAAAAUCAAGUGAACAUUAUUGGUUUUUAAAUAAUUUUCAUUAAUUUUUUAUUAUUAUAAUUUAUAUGUUUUGAAGUGAAAUAUUUAUAAUAUAUUUAUUUAAAUAAUUAUUAGUGUGAUUGUUAUGAAAUUGAAAUUAUAAACUAGGAUUAGAUACCCUAUUAUUUUUAUUGUAAAAAAUAUAAAGCUUGAGUAUUAAUAGUUAUGAUCUUUAAACUUAAAGAAUUUGGCGGUAUUAUAAUCUAUUUAGAGGAAUCUGUUAUGUAAUCGAUAAUCCACGUUGAACCUUACUUAUAUAAUUUUUUGUAUAUCGCUGUUUAAGAAUAUAUUUUUAGAUUAUUUUCUUGAUAUUAAAUUAAUUAAUAUUUCAAGUCAAGGUGCAGAAAUGUAUAAGUUUAAUAAUGGAUUACAAUAAAUUGUAUUUAUUAUGAAUUAUUAUUUUAAUAUAAUUUUGAAGGUGGAUUUAAUUGUAAUUUUAUAAAGAUUAUUAAAAUGAUCAUGGCUCUAUAAUAUGUACACAUCGCCCGUCGCUCUCAUUAUUAAGAUGAGAUAAGUCGUAACAAAGUAAGUGUAUCGGAAGAUGUACUUAGAAAGCAUUAAAUAAUU
Molecule: non-coding RNA, 795 nt
Filed under: Anaxarcha zhengi
Lineage: Eukaryota; Metazoa; Arthropoda; Insecta; Mantodea; Hymenopodidae
Source: RNAcentral